RNAcentral lists this ribosomal RNA (1132 nucleotides) under Listeria monocytogenes. Its description in RNAcentral is "partial 23S ribosomal RNA". It matches the Rfam family "Bacterial large subunit ribosomal RNA", at positions 1 to 1127 of the family's 2925-position model. Lineage: Bacteria; Bacillati; Bacillota; Bacilli; Caryophanales; Listeriaceae. The record is from RNAcentral.
GGUUAAGUUAGAAAGGGCGCACGGUGGAUGCCUUGGCACUAGGAGCCGAAGAAGGACGGGACUAACACCGAUAUGCUUUGGGGAGCUGUACGUAAGCGUUGAUCCAGAGAUUUCCGAAUGGGGGAACCCACUAUCUUUAGUCGGAUAGUAUCCUUACGUGAAUACAUAGCGUGAGGAAGGCAGACCCAGGGAACUGAAACAUCUAAGUACCUGGAGGAAGAGAAAGAAAAAUCGAUUUCCUGAGUAGCGGCGAGCGAAACGGAAAGAGCCCAAACCAAGAAGCUUGCUUCUUGGGGUUGUAGGACACUCUAUACGGAGUUACAAAAGAAAGUUAUAAAUGAAGCGGUCUGGAAAGGCCCGCCAAAGACGGUAACAGCCCGGUAGUUGAAAUGGCUUUCCCUCCAGAGUGGAUCCUGAGUACGGCGGAACACGUGAAAUUCCGUCGGAAUCCGGGAGGACCAUCUCCCAAGGCUAAAUACUCCCUAGUGACCGAUAGUGAACCAGUACCGUGAGGGAAAGGUGAAAAGCACCCCGGAAGGGGAGUGAAACAGUUCCUGAAACCGUGUGCCUACAAGUAGUUAGAGCCCGUUAAUGGGUGAUAGCGUGCCUUUUGUAGAAUGAACCGGCGAGUUACGAUUUGUUGCAAGGUUAAGCGGAAAAAGCGGAGCCGUAGCGAAAGCGAGUCUGAAUAGGGCGCAUAAGUAACAGGUCGUAGACCCGAAACCAGGUGAUCUACCCAUGUCCAGGAUGAAGGUAAGGUAAUACUUACUGGAGGUCCGAACCCACGCACGUUGAAAAGUGCGGGGAUGAGGUGUGGGUAGCGGAGAAAUUCCAAUCGAACUUGGAGAUAGCUGGUUCUCUCCGAAAUAGCUUUAGGGCUAGCCUCGAGGUAAAGAGUCAUGGAGGUAGAGCACUGUUUGGACUAGGGGCCCUUCUCGGGUUACCGAAUUCAGAUAAACUCCGAAUGCCAUGUACUUAUACUCGGGAGUCAGACUGCGAGUGAUAAGAUCCGUAGUCGAAAGGGAAACAGCCCAGACCACCAGUUAAGGUCCCCAAAUAUAUGUUAAGUGGAAAAGGAUGUGGGGUUGCUUAGACAACCAGGAUGUUGGCUUAGAAGCAGCCACCAUUGAAA